GACGAACGCUGGCGGCGUGCUUAACACAUGCAAGUCGAACGGAAAGGCCCUGCUUUUGUGGGGUGCUCGAGUGGCGAACGGGUGAGUAACACGUGAGUAACCUGCCCUUGACUUUGGGAUAACUUCAGGAAACUGGGGCUAAUACCGGAUAGGAGCUCCUGCUGCAUGGUGGGGGUUGGAAAGUUUCGGCGGUUGGGGUUGGACUCGCGGCUUAUCAGCUUGUUGGUGGGGUAGUGGCUUACCAAGGCUUUGACGGGUAGCCGGCCUGAGAGGGUGACCGGCCACAUUGGGACUGAGAGACGGACCAGACUCCUACGGGAGGCAGCAGUGGGGAAUAUUGCACAAUGGGCGGAAGCCUGAUGCAGCAACGCCGCGUGCGGGAUGACAGCCUUCGGGUUGUAAACCGCUUUCGCCUGUGACGAAGCGUGAGUGGCGGUAAUGGGUAAAGAAGCACCGGCUAACUACGUG
RNAcentral lists this ribosomal RNA (468 nucleotides) under uncultured bacterium. RNAcentral describes it as "partial 16S ribosomal RNA". It matches the Rfam family "Bacterial small subunit ribosomal RNA", at positions 28 to 507 of the family's 1533-position model. The record is from RNAcentral.